RNAcentral lists this ribosomal RNA (496 nucleotides) under uncultured bacterium. RNAcentral describes it as "partial 16S ribosomal RNA". It matches the Rfam family "Bacterial small subunit ribosomal RNA", at positions 28 to 506 of the family's 1533-position model. The record is from RNAcentral.
GAUGAACGCUGGCGGCGUGCCUAAUACAUGCAAGUCGAGCGAACAGAUGAGGAGCUUGCUCCUCUGACGUUAGCGGCGGACGGGUGAGUAACACGUGGAUAACCUACCUAUAAGACUGGGAUAACUUCGGGAAACCGGAGCUAAUACCGGAUAAUAUAUUGAACCGCAUGGUUCAAUAGUGAAAGACGGUUUUGCUGUCACUUAUAGAUGGAUCCGCGCCGCAUUAGCUAGUUGGUAAGGUAACGGCUUACCAAGGCAACGAUGCGUAGCCGACCUGAGAGGGUGAUCGGCCACACUGGAACUGAGACACGGUCCAGACUCCUACGGGAGGCAGCAGUAGGGAAUCUUCCGCAAUGGGCGAAAGCCUGACGGAGCAACGCCGCGUGAGUGAUGAAGGUCUGCGGAUCGUAAAACUCUGUUAUUAGGGAAGAACAAAUGUGUAAGUAACUAUGCACGUCUUGACGGUACCUAGUCAGAAAGCCACGGCUAACUACGU